AUCAAGGAGAAGGACAUUGUCAUCUUCAUUAGAUUGUUUAUAUUCAGCUUGGUGUCAGACUACUGUGGUGGACAUUCUUGGGGAAGGUGAUUUGCCACACCACCAGGAACUACAUCUCAUCGUGACUCUGGCCCGCAUCCCACUGAGCAACCCCAACUCCUCAUGGGAGUUCAUGGAAGCCACGGCCACCCAGCAUUGCCACAGCAAGAAGGCUCAGGAGGUGCAUAACUGAUCUGCAGAUGAACCCAGCACCUACUC
RNAcentral lists this long non-coding RNA (258 nucleotides) under Homo sapiens (human). RNAcentral describes it as "non-protein coding lnc-TNFRSF1A-5:1". The record is from RNAcentral. Lineage: Eukaryota; Metazoa; Chordata; Mammalia; Primates; Hominidae.